AGGCUUAACACGAUGCAAGGUCGAGGGGUAUCACGGCUUUCGGGCGUGAGAGACCGGCGCACGGGUGCGUAACGCGUAUGCAAUCUACCUUUUGCAGAGGAUAGCCCAGAGAAAUUUGGAUUAAUACCUCAUAGUAUAGAACAAUCGCAUGAUUGGAAACUAGUUAAAGUCACAACGGCAAAAGAUGAGCAUGCGUCCCAUUAGUUAGUUGGUAAGGUAACGGCUUACCAAGACUACGAUGGGUAGGGGUCCCUGAGAGGGAGAUCCCCCACACUGGUACUGAGACACGGACCAGACUCCUACGGGAGGCAGCAGUGAGGAAUAUUGGACAAUGGGCGCAAGCCUGAUCCAGCCAUGCCGCGUGCAGGAUGACGGUCCUAUGGAUUGUAAACUGCUUUUGUACAGGAAGAAACACCUCUACGUGUAGAGACUUGACGGUACUGUAAGAAUAAGGAUCGGCUAACUCCGUG
This 470-nucleotide ribosomal RNA is filed under the name uncultured bacterium. Its description in RNAcentral is "bacterial SSU rRNA". It matches the Rfam family "Bacterial small subunit ribosomal RNA", at positions 44 to 507 of the family's 1533-position model. The record is from RNAcentral.